This 153-nucleotide ribosomal RNA is filed under the name Tetraselmis sp. GSL018. RNAcentral describes it as "5.8S ribosomal RNA". It matches the Rfam family "5.8S ribosomal RNA". Rfam says of the family: 5.8S ribosomal RNA (5.8S rRNA) is a component of the large subunit of the eukaryotic ribosome. It is transcribed by RNA polymerase I as part of the 45S precursor that also contains 18S and 28S rRNA. The record is from RNAcentral. Lineage: Eukaryota; Viridiplantae; Chlorophyta; Chlorodendrophyceae; Chlorodendrales; Chlorodendraceae.
AACUCUCAGCAAUGGAUAUCUUGGCUCUUGCAACGAUGAAGAACGCAGCAAAAUGCGAUACCUAAUGCGAAUUGCAGAAUUCCGUGAGACAUCGAUACUUUGAAUGCACAUUGCGCUCAAGGCUUCGGCCGAGAGCACGUCCGCCUCAGGGUC